GUGGGGAAUUUUGGACAAUGGGCGCAAGUCUGAUCCAGCAAUGCCGCGUGUGUGAAGAAGGCCUUCGGGUUGUAAAGCACUUUUGGCAGGAAAGAAAUAGCGCGUGCUAAUACCAUGCGCGAAUGACGGUACCUGCAGAAUAAGCACCGGCUAACUACGUGCCAGCAGCCGCGGUAAGACGUAGGGUGCAAGCGUUAAUCGGAAUUACUGGGCGUAAAGCGUGCGCAGGCGGUUUUGUAAGACAGGUGUGAAAUCCCCGGGCUCAACCUGGGAACUGCACUUGUGACUGCAAGGCUAGAGUGUGUCAGAGGGAGGUGGAAUUCCGCGUGUAGCAGUGAAAUGCGUAGAGAUGCGGAGGAACACCGAUGGCGAAGGCAGCCUCCUGGGAUAACACUGACGCUCAGGCACGAAAGCGUGGGGAGCAAACAGGAUUAGAUACCCCUGUAGUCC
This 450-nucleotide ribosomal RNA is filed under the name uncultured bacterium. RNAcentral describes it as "bacterial SSU rRNA". It matches the Rfam family "Bacterial small subunit ribosomal RNA", at positions 354 to 796 of the family's 1533-position model. The record is from RNAcentral.